This 253-nucleotide ribosomal RNA is filed under the name uncultured bacterium. Its description in RNAcentral is "partial 16S ribosomal RNA". It matches the Rfam family "Bacterial small subunit ribosomal RNA", at positions 524 to 776 of the family's 1533-position model. The record is from RNAcentral.
UACAGAGGGGGCAAGCGUUGUUCGGAAUUACUGGGCGUAAAGGGCGCGUAGGCGGCCUUCUAAGUCGAACGUGAAAUCCUUGGGCUCAACCCAGGAACUGCGUCCGAUACUGGAAGGCUUGAAUCCGGGAGAGGGAUGCGGAAUUCCAGGUGUAGCGGUGAAAUGCGUAGAUAUCUGGAGGAACACCGGUGGCGAAGGCGGCAUCCUGGACCGGCACUGACGCUCAUGCACGAAAGCGUGGGGAGCAAACAGG